Molecule: ribosomal RNA, 429 nt
Filed under: Chloroflexota bacterium
Lineage: Bacteria; Bacillati; Chloroflexota
Description: Chloroflexi bacterium partial 16S ribosomal RNA
Rfam family: Bacterial small subunit ribosomal RNA
Source: RNAcentral
UGGGGAAUAUUGCACAAUGGGCGCAAGCCUGAUGCAGCCAUGCCGCGUGUAUGAAGAAGGCCUUCGGGUUGUAAAGUACUUUCAGCGGGGAGGAAGGGAGUAAAGUUAAUACCUUUGCUCAUUGACGUCACCCGCAGAAGAAGCACCGGCUAACUCCGUGCCAGCAGCCGCGGUAAUACGGAGGGUGCAAGCGUUAAUCGGAAUUACUGGGCGUAAAGCGCACGCAGGCGGUUUGUUAAGUCAGAUGUGAAAUCCUCGGGCUCAACCUGGGAACUGUAUCUGAUACUGGCAAGCUUGAGUCUCGUAGAGGGGGGUAGAAUUCCAGGUGUAGCGGUGAAAUGCGUAGAGAUCUGGAGGAAUACCGGUGGCGAAGGCGGCCCCCUGGACGAAGACUGACGCUCAGGUGCGAAAGCGUGGGGAGCAAACAGG